GGUUCUCUGGAGUGCCAGCAGACUGGGAUCAGUGGUCAAACAGGACAGCAGAGACUGGCUGCAAGCUUGCACCUGGAUUGCUAUGUAAGGACACAAGGGACAUGCUUUAUUCUGAAGGAAAAGGAGAAGCUCUACCAGCUAUGUUGGUCAGACAACUUGUCAUCUUUGCCUUGCCACCAUCUUUCGUGGGCUCCCAGAUCUCCUGUGGUGUUCCAAAAAAUCAUUCUGGCAAGGUUCUUUUUGGUGCUCCUUAGGACAACUUUGUCUGAUGAACAGGACUCCCUUUCUAGGUUUGAGGACAAGGACAUGACAUGAAUGGCAGUUACUUUUAUAUUGUCAAGGGGAAGGUUAAAUAAUUGUUUUGAUGUAUGUUCUGUAUUCAAAAGAAAAUCUUAUUGGAAUGUGGUGGACACUUUUUUUUUUCCCCUGUAGAGAAAUGUUAUUUUAUUAUGUAGUGUGGAUAGUAAUUCAGCAGACCUGACCCUUUGGUUCUGUGUAACUGUGUUAAAGAUCUUUAUUUACUUCUUGGA
Long non-coding RNA from Pogoniulus pusillus (Red-fronted tinkerbird), 530 nucleotides. RefSeq lists it as uncharacterized. The transcript is spliced from 2 exons. The record is from RefSeq and is a predicted model, not a curated record. NCBI's taxonomy places the organism in Eukaryota, Metazoa, Chordata, Aves, Piciformes, Lybiidae.